This 557-nucleotide ribosomal RNA is filed under the name uncultured bacterium. RNAcentral's name for it is "bacterial SSU rRNA". It matches the Rfam family "Bacterial small subunit ribosomal RNA", at positions 343 to 917 of the family's 1533-position model. The record is from RNAcentral.
UGGAGGCAGCAGUGGGGAAUAUUGGACAAUGGACCGAGAGUCUGAUCCAGCAAUUCUGUGUGCACGAUGAAGUUUUUCGGAAUGUAAAGUGCUUUCAGUUGGGAAGAAAGAAAUGACGGUACCAACAGAAGAAGUGACGGCUAAAUACGUGCCAGCAGCCGCGGUAAUACGUAUGUCACGAGCGUUAUCCGGAUUUAUUGGGCGUAAAGCGCGUCUAGGUGGUUAUGUAAGUCUGAUGUGAAAAUGCAGGGCUCAACUCUGUAUUGCGUUGGAAACUGUAUAACUAGAGUACUGGAGAGGUAAGCGGAACUACAAGUGUAGAGGUGAAAUUCGUAGAUAUUUGUAGGAAUGCCGAUGGGGAAGCCAGCUUACUGGACAGAUACUGACGCUGAAGCGCGAAAGCGUGGGUAGCAAACAGGAUUAGAUACCCUGGUAGUCCACGCCGUAAACGAUGAUUACUAGGUGUUGGGGGUCGAACCUCAGCGCCCAAGCAAACGCGAUAAGUAAUCCGCCUGGGGAGUACGUACGCAAGUAUGAAACUCAAAGGAAUUGACGGA